UUCACUAACUGCUUAGUCAUAACGUUGUAAUGGAGUGGGUAAAGAACUGUGAUACUUGUGCUAGAUGUAAAGGAGAAGUUGUUCACUUCCUGGAUUGCUGCAACCUUUGCCUAUUCCCACUCAACUUGUAAGUAAUUAUCUAUCGAUUCUACAUAGCACUCGCCCAAGUUUAGAAGCAAGGAUGCCAUCCUCGUAGUAGUUUGAAAAUUUACCAAAUAUGGACACCUUUUGCCUUUAUCUCAUCCCAUUUUUG
This 253-nucleotide unclassified non-coding RNA is filed under the name Hevea brasiliensis (rubber tree). The record is from RNAcentral. Lineage: Eukaryota; Viridiplantae; Streptophyta; Magnoliopsida; Malpighiales; Euphorbiaceae.